AGUGAACGCUGGCGGUAGGCCUAACACAUGCAAGUCGAGCGGCAGCACAGUAAGAGCUUGCUCUUACGGGUGGCGAGUGGCGGACGGGGGAGGAAUACAUCGGAGUCUACUUUUGCGUGGGGGAGAACGUAGGGAAACUUACGCUAAUACCGCAUACGACCUACGGGUGAAAGCAGGGGAUCUUCGGACCUUGCGCGAUUGAAUGAGCCGAUGUCGGAUUAGCUAGUUGGCGGGGUAAAGGCCCACCAAGGCGACGAUCCGUAGCUGGUCUGAGAGGAUGAUCAGCCACACUGGAACUGAGACACGGUCCAGACUCCUACGGGAGGCAGCAGUGGGGAAUAUUGGACAAUGGGCGCAAGCCUGAUCCAGCCAUACCGCGUGUGUGAAGAAGGCCUUCGGGUUGUAAAGCCCUUUUGUUGGGAAAGAAAAGCAGCAGGUUAAUACCCCGCUGUUCUGACGGUACCCAAAGAAUAAGCACCGGCUAACUUCGUG
RNAcentral lists this ribosomal RNA (492 nucleotides) under uncultured bacterium. RNAcentral's name for it is "partial 16S ribosomal RNA". It matches the Rfam family "Bacterial small subunit ribosomal RNA", at positions 29 to 507 of the family's 1533-position model. The record is from RNAcentral.